AAACAAAAAUACAAAAAAGUCAAAGCUGAAAUCUAUGAAAGCAAAAAGAGAAUCCAUUGUAGCUUUGCUGUGUGCGGGAUACACUUCUGAAGAAUUGCCAGGAAUCUUGGCCUAAUCAACGUAAACCUGGUGCGGUUGACAACCUGCCAAGUCAAAUAAUGGAUGAACUUCACGUUGAUUUGUUGGAGCAUGAUGGUCCUCACUUCCUUGCAAUCUUGAAUGAUCAUCCUUGUUAUCCAUUUCUUCACCAUUUGAAUUCUUGCCCGACUUCGAAACAAGUUGCUUAUGCCCUUACUUCUAUAUUCACCAUGUUCGGGACUCCUAAGACCUUGAGCAAUAACGGACCUCAAUUUGUUUCAUUUGCCUUCAAAAAUUAUCUUUCACACUGGGGUAUUCUCUGGAAACCUAGUUCACUUUAUAACCAUAGUCAAAUGGUUUAUCGGAACACACAGUGCGCACUUUGAAAGAGACCUUGAAACAUCUCAAUGCUUCAUGCCCAACCGAAUCUACCAUCAAGGCCUUUCUACAUCUUAGAAACACUCCAAGACCCAAUGAAGUUUCCCCUAGCCUUGCUUUUUGUAUGUUUCACUGCGUAACGGAAUGGGGUUUUAGCUCUCCCAUUACUGCUACUUUCUUUUGUUUACAAAAGACGGAAAGAAAAUUACAUAAAGGUUUCAUACCCAA
Tigriopus californicus is the source of this 684-nucleotide long non-coding RNA. RefSeq lists it as uncharacterized. The record is from RefSeq and is a predicted model, not a curated record. The transcript has 2 exons. NCBI's taxonomy places the organism in Eukaryota, Metazoa, Arthropoda, Copepoda, Harpacticoida, Harpacticidae.